GUUUCGUAGUAGGAGGUUGAAAAACAGACUUCUUAACUAGUUCGAGGUUGUAAAAUAGACUUAUCCCUUCCUUUAUCUCUCGUGCAUUUUUAUUUACCGAACACUCCAAGGUGGUCUUUUCAUGUAUUGCUUCAUUAAAAUGAGUGUCAAGAAGCAUAUUACAGGCUACUGUACGGAAGUAAAGUAAACAACUGAAUCAGGUAGCUUAUGCUCUUUUUUUGUUCUUAAAAGAGUCAGAUUAAAAUGGUUCAGUGAACUAAUCUUGACACGAUUUAGCUUUGCCACGCAUCGUAACGGUGCGAAUUUCUUGAACAAGCAAAUGUGCUAAUGCUGUAAAAAGUCUCAGGUGGAAGGAAAGAUGGACAAAAAAUCGACUGACACUUGCAGUUUUAACCAAAGAUAAUCGUCGCAGAGAUGAUAGCUACCAUGAUCGAAAAGUUGCCCUUAUCUUGCUAUUGCAGUAUAGCGAAACCAACUGACUGAUGUUCCCUCAGGUUCCAUUUCUUCAAAUCUGACAGAUUUUUACGCAUUCACACGGUCUCUCUGAAGAUAUAAAUCCACACUCCCAGUGGGGCGGCGGGGGCUGGGGGUCGACCUGUCCUUGACCGGCGGCGGCGUGAGCGCACUCCCAGUGCGCGGUGACUGCCUGUCGUUACUCAUGGUCGAUCGACGAGGACCCUCUCGUGGGUGCUCAGCGGGAAGUACUUUUGCGGUUGCAGCUAACGAACAAGGAUGAUGCGUGUCUCGUGCCAGAGUUGAUUCCUCUGUUCCGUCACCUCUGUUUCCAUCAGGGGGCAAAACGAGCAGAGGACGGCAUGCGUGUGCCUGCUGGUCGUCAGUUGCCGCGAGCAGGUCACUGGAUUGCAGCUAGAUUCGCCCAAUCCAAUCAAUAUUCAGCGACCCGUGAAUUCAAUAGAACAUGAUUCCCAGGUGGAAAGAUAGACGAAAAACUAGAUCAGACUUCAGACUGAGACAAUCGUCCCAGAGAUGAUAGUGAUCAUGAUUGAUUGCAGUUACCUUGUCUUGCUCUUGAGAAACCAAACGUUUGAUAUUCUCUCAAGCUUUGUUUUUCUUAUAA
Long non-coding RNA from Panicum virgatum (switchgrass), 1078 nucleotides. RefSeq lists it as uncharacterized. Lineage: Eukaryota; Viridiplantae; Streptophyta; Magnoliopsida; Poales; Poaceae. The record is from RefSeq and is a predicted model, not a curated record. The transcript is spliced from 2 exons.